UGGAAACGACUGCUAAUACCGCAUAAGCCCACGGGUCGGCAUCGACCUGAGGGAAAAGGAGUGAUCCGCUUUGAGAUGGCCUCGCGUCCGAUUAGCUAGUUGGUGAGGUAAUGGCCCACCAAGGCGACGAUCGGUAGCCGGACUGAGAGGUUGAACGGCCACAUUGGGACUGAGACACGGCCCAGACUCCUACGGGAGGCAGCAGUGGGGAAUAUUGCACAAUGGGGGAAACCCUGAUGCAGCGACGCCGCGUGGAGGAAGAAGGUCUUCGGAUUGUAAACUCCUGUUGUUGAGGAAGAUAAUGAC
This 306-nucleotide ribosomal RNA is filed under the name uncultured bacterium. RNAcentral describes it as "bacterial SSU rRNA". It matches the Rfam family "Bacterial small subunit ribosomal RNA", at positions 151 to 455 of the family's 1533-position model. The record is from RNAcentral.